RNAcentral lists this ribosomal RNA (462 nucleotides) under Plectostoma crassipupa. RNAcentral's name for it is "partial large subunit ribosomal RNA". It matches the Rfam family "Bacterial large subunit ribosomal RNA", at positions 1941 to 2620 of the family's 2925-position model. The record is from RNAcentral. Lineage: Eukaryota; Metazoa; Mollusca; Gastropoda; Architaenioglossa; Diplommatinidae.
CCUGACUGUGCAAAGGUAGCAUAAUAAUUUGCCUUUUAAUUGGAGGAUAGAAUGAAUGAUUUGACGAAGAUAUAACUGUCUUGUGCAUAUUUAUUAGAAGUUAAUUUUUAGGUUAAAAAGCCUAAAUAUGAUUAAGGGACGAGAAGACCCUGUUAAGCUUAAAAGAAUUUAUUAACUAUUAUUAUGUUAUAAAAUAUAAUGUUACUAACGAAAUUUUAGUUGGGGCGACUUGGGAGCAAUAUAAACCUCCUUAGGCUUAAUAUAGUUUAAUAUAUGGUCCAAUGAAUUUUGAGUUGAGAACAAGUUACUACAGGGAUAACAGCGUAAUUUCAAUUGAGAGUUCUAAUCGAAAGUGAAGUUUGCGACCUCGAUGUUGGAUUAGGGGGUAGUAAAGGUUGUAGACGCUUUUACAAUUAGUCUGUUCGACUAUUAAUACCCUACAUGAUCUGAGUUCAAACCGGA